UGGGGAAUUUUGGACAAUGGGGGAAACCCUGAUCCAGCCAUCCCGCGUGUGCGAUGAAGGCCUUCGGGUUGUAAAGCACUUUUGGCAGGAAAGAAACGUCAUGGGUUAAUACCCCGUGAAACUGACGGUACCUGCAGAAUAAGCACCGGCUAACUACGUGCCAGCAGCCGCGGUAAUACGUAGGGUGCAAGCGUUAAUCGGAAUUACUGGGCGUAAAGCGUGCGCAGGCGGUUCGGAAAGAAAGAUGUGAAAUCCCAGAGCUCAACUUUGGAACUGCAUUUUUAACUACCGGGCUAGAGUGUGUCAGAGGGAGGUGGAAUUCCGCGUGUAGCAGUGAAAUGCGUAGAUAUGCGGAGGAACACCGAUGGCGAAGGCAGCCUCCUAGGAUAACACUGACGCUCAUGCACGAAAGCGUGGGGGGCAAACAAG
This 429-nucleotide ribosomal RNA is filed under the name Acidobacteriota bacterium. RNAcentral's name for it is "Acidobacteria bacterium partial 16S ribosomal RNA". It matches the Rfam family "Bacterial small subunit ribosomal RNA", at positions 355 to 776 of the family's 1533-position model. The record is from RNAcentral. Lineage: Bacteria; Pseudomonadati; Acidobacteriota.